Molecule: non-coding RNA, 24 nt
Filed under: Arabidopsis thaliana (thale cress)
Lineage: Eukaryota; Viridiplantae; Streptophyta; Magnoliopsida; Brassicales; Brassicaceae
Source: RNAcentral
ACGCUAUUGUGAAUUCCACGGAGA